This 4137-nucleotide unclassified non-coding RNA is filed under the name Acanthaster planci (crown-of-thorns starfish). RNAcentral's name for it is "tPR repeat-containing protein DDB_G0287407-like, transcript variant X3". The record is from RNAcentral. Lineage: Eukaryota; Metazoa; Echinodermata; Asteroidea; Valvatida; Acanthasteridae.
UCAGAUGGAAAUCAUUCAGUUACCUCCAUGUUUCUAAAAAUUUCAAACACGUCGCGGAAAGACUAAAUUACUUAUUCUAAACUAAGAAUAUCGGUAAUUUCUGACAUUAAGAACGCGUGAGCGAAAUUUCAGCUACCUUCAUCAGUCUCUUUUAGGCAUCCCAACAUGGCCAAAGUGUCCCACAAUGUGCAGCAGCGGCGUAUUGCCCGGAUUUUCUGGAGCUCCCCGUUUGGCGGUCUGGAAGAAGAAAGGGAGCUGCUGACCAAGAAAUACUGGCCACAGCUUGCUCACAUGUGUCAGAAGGCUGGCUAUGAGUAUGCUCCAGUUGACAUGAGAUGGGGCAUCACAUCGGAUCACUCAAAGCAAGCACUGACCAUAGAGAUUUGCCUUCGAGAGUUGGACCGUUCCGACAUGAUUGUUGGCUUUUUUGGCCAGAGGUACGGUUGGCACGGAAGCAAAGAUGAGAUGUUGCAGAAGACGUUUGACUAUGCUGUUUCUCGAUUUCCUUUCAUUGACAACUUCCGAGAUCGCUCGGUCACAGAGCUGGAGUUCCUUCACGGACACCUCAACAAACCUGGCGCCCGGGCAGCAAGUUUUUUCUUCCGAGAUAAGGCGUAUGAUGAUCAGAAACUGAAGGAAUAUGAGGCAGCUGGAGACGAGGGAAGUGCUCGCAAGUUUCGCCCAACCACCGACGGCCCUAAUGCUGCCCAGCAUUUGGAUGACCUGAAGCGUAGGGUCAUGGCCACAGAAGACAAAUGCCUUACCAUUCAUCCUAAUUAUGCCACACCAAGCGAGGGCGCCCGAAUGAUGUUCGAAACGGUCCACAGCUUCUUGGAGACGUUCCUGAAACCUCAGAAAGCCCUCUCCAGACUGGAGGCAGAGCGGCUGGAGCACCAUGCCUUUCUCCUUCAGAAGCUGGGAAUGGGGGGCAUGUACAUCGGAGGGGAGAAGUACCUGGAGACAGUGGACAACCACGUCUUGAAAGGCAGAAGUGGCUACAUAGACAAACAUUUACUGAUCAUUGGCGACCCAGGGAGUGGAAAGACCUGCUUGCUGGGUAACUGGCUCAUCAGACACCAGGAACGUUUCCCAGAGGAUGUCGUCGCAUAUCACGUGGUUGGAUGCUCCAGCAGCAGCACAAGCGUGAAAAACUUACUACAGAGGUUAUGCAAUGAUGUUGAAGACGCACUCUUUGAUUUCGAUGAUGUCCCCAUAUCAGGGAGGGUGUAUGCAGCUUUAAAAAAGGAAGAAAUCCGCGACCUUCGGCAAACAUUAAACGUCUUGGUUUCCAAGGCAACCAAGCGAAACAUGAGGGUGGUGUUCGUCGUUGAUGCACUUGACAUGAUAGAGAAAGCUGGAAAAACCAUGAAGACGCUUUACUGGCUGCCCAAGUUGCUGCCUGAUGCUGCUCACCUCAUCCUGUCCACUGUCUCUUCGGACACUGCCAACAUCCAGGAGCUGGUCGAGCAGAGAGGGUUCAACCAGCUGGAGAUGGUUCCGCUGAGUGAAGAUCUUCAGUCAGAGAUCACCAAGGCAAUGUUGAUUGUGAGAGGCAAGGAGCUGUCAUCCAAGCAGCAUGAGCGGGUCAUCAGCUGCAAGCUGACAGAGAACCCACUCUAUCUCAUGAUUCUGCUGAAGGAGCUGUGCAGUUUUGGCAGUUUCUUUGAGCUUGAUGACUAUAUUGACUCUCUCCUUGCUGCCAAGAGCGUCAAAGAUCUGUUUGUUAAGUUUUUGAAACGGCUGGAGAAGGAUUAUAAUGCUGCGGAGAAGCAAGACCUUGUGAAGGAGGUGAUGUGUUGCCUUCUUGUUGCCAGGCGUGGCUUGUCGGAAGGAGAGAUCAAGAGAAUUUUGGGAGUGUCUGAUCAAGUGUGGUCGACACUGUAUUUUGCUAUGAACGAAUUUGUGAUUGAGAGAUCGGGUUUGUACGUGUUAGCUUACAGUGAAUUAGCUGAGGCAGUGAGACAGCAUUUCUGCACUGAUUGCGAGCAAGAAAAACGGUUUAGUAGGCUUGUGGCUGACCAUUUCUUGGAUGCAUUUAAGGCCUUGAGCCCACGAUACCACAUCCAGAUACCUGACAGAAUCUUGAACGAGUUGCCAUGGUUACUGUACAAACUUGGCGCCAACGAUCAGCUCCAGCAGUGCCUGCUGAAUCUGGCCAUGUUCAGAGCUCUCUUCAGAGACCAGCACAAGUAUGACUUGGUAGAUUACUGGAACAGCACAGGUGCAUCGGGGCUCGAGAUCCAGCAGAUGUACAUGAAAGCCCUUGAUGAACAGGUAGCACUGCUGUAUACAGAUAGUACCAAGGAAACCGGUAACCCACCUGAGCCUUCCCCUGGCAAACAGCUGGUCUCUUUGGUGGGCAACAUCAGUGAUUUCCUGGAGGAGUCAGGGUAUCGGACCAUCCUAGAGCCACUGCUGCAACGGGCCAUUAGGAUGCUUCCUUUACAAGAUGAUAUACUGAGCGCCAGCCCUGACGAUAUCUCAAAGUAUUUGUUUUGCCAUAACCAUCUGGCUCGCUUCUACGCUGACGUUGAUAGAUUUGAGGAUGCCCUGGCUAUUCAUGAAAGACUGCUUGCUCUCAAAGAAAAACCGGAGAGUGGUGUCAGCUCCUCAGAGAAAGCAGUUACUGUAAACAACAUGGGCUUUGUACACCUCAAACUUGGUAACAAUGACAAAGCAUUGGACUUCUUCCAGCAAGCUUUGACCUUGCACAAGGAAUGCCUUAAUGGUGAUGACAUUCACGAGGUCAUAGCCACUGCUACCAACAACGUUGGCUCUGUUUUAGCAGUAAUGGGCCAUUAUGAUGAAGCUGCAGAAGUUCUCCAAAGAUCACUUGAAAUCUAUGAGGAACUCUACUUUGAUAGUCUCCCUCCGGAUGUCGGUGGAACCCUGCUUAACUUGGCCAAGUGUCACGUCCGAAAUCCAAACAAAACACCUGAGGAAGUGCAGGCGACAUAUCAGAGAGCCAUAGAGAUUCGAGCCAAUGCCUAUGGUCGCAACCAUCCGGAGGUAGCUCAGGUGUUGACAACGUACGGCUCAUACAUGCUGCGUCUUAAGCAGGUCGAUGAAGCACUAGAUAUGUACUUAGAAGCCCUGGACAUUUACACAGCUGCAUAUGGGCCAGAGGGAUCAGAAACUACCAUGGUGCAGGAGAAUGUGGCUCUAGCAUACAUCGUUAAAGAUCAGUAUGAAAAGGCUAUUCCUUACUUCAACGCGGCGGGUGAGACACUAUACAAACUGGGCCUGAUGGAUCGUUCCCUGGAAUCCCUAAACACAUCCAUGCUGCAGUACUAUGUGAAGCAAGGCCGGUUAGCAGAUGCCCAUCAUGUCCUGGAGCGGGUCAUCACGGCCCAGUUUGUCACCGAGGACAUGUUCGUCACGCUGGACCAGCUGGACGAACGUCUUCUCGGAGACCAGAGACCAAACAGACCCUUCCAGCACACCCUGGACUACGCUCUUCAAAAAUUUCCCAGCAGCAUGCGUGUCUUGGGUAGAAAGCUUGUACUCUUGGCAAGAGAGGGUGGGGCAGAGGCCCUGCUGGACAUCAUCAGGAAGAACCCAGAUGGGAAAGAUCCGCAGCUGUACAUGUACGCCUACAAGACAUUCGUGGAGAAUGGCCACCGAGACGAAGGUCAGAAGAUACUACUGGCUGCUGCUGAGCUGUUCCCCGAUGAUGUGAUCAUACUCGAAAAUCUGGCCAAGUGUCAUGGGUUUUACAAGCGUUACCCUGAAGCCGUGGCGGUCAUGCAGCAGCUUUUAGCUAUCCAACCUGGAGACAUGGAUCUGAUGAUCCUGGGAGCCAACUUGCUCGCCAUGAACAGCCAGCUGCAGGAAUCUAGGGAGAAGUUGCUAGCAGCACGACAAGUUGCUGCCGAGAACGAGGACCAAGGAAAUGUGGAUAGGGUAACAUCCAUUUUGAAGAAUAUUGAUGAAAUUAUUGCUUCGCAAUGUAACACAUAGUUUCUCUGUUUAGUGCCCCAGUUGUCAAAUGCUGAGAAAGGUACGAGUCAGGUAAUCGUAAAUCUGCCAGCAGCAUGGCUUUAAGCCUUCAUGGACGAGCAGCGUUCGUGCUUCAUCUCCACUACACAGCCUCCGAUGUAAACUCUCGUCGUUUCGCCUGUCGACCAACCAAUCAAU